GAACGCUUGCUGCAUGCUUUAUACAUGCAAGUCGAACGGAGGCCCUAGCUUGCUAGGUGUCCUUAGUGGCGCACGGGUGAGUAACACGUGGGAACAUACCUUAUAGUACGGAAUAACUGCGGGAAACUGUAGCUAAUACCGUAUACUCCAGUAAUGGGAAAGAUUUAUCGCUAUAAGAUUGGCCCGCGCAAGAUUAGCUUGUUGGUGAGGUAAAAGCUCACCAAGGCUUCGAUCUUUAGCUGGUUUGAGAGGACGAUCAGCCACACUGGGACUGAGACACGGCCCAGACUCCUACGGGAGGCAGCAGUAGGGAAUAUUGGACAAUGGGGGCAACCCUGAUCCAGCAAUGCAGCGUGAGUGACGAAGGCCUUAGGGUUGUAAAACUCUUUCAUCGGUGAGGAUAAUGACAGUAGCCGAAGAAGAAGGACCGG
Molecule: ribosomal RNA, 431 nt
Filed under: uncultured Alphaproteobacteria bacterium
Lineage: Bacteria; Pseudomonadati; Pseudomonadota; Alphaproteobacteria
Description: bacterial SSU rRNA
Rfam family: Bacterial small subunit ribosomal RNA
Source: RNAcentral